CCUACGGGAGGCAGCAGUGGGGAAUAUUGGGCAAUGGGCGCAAGCCUGACCCAGCAACGCCGCGUGAAGGAAGAAGGCUUUCGGGUUGUAAACCUCUUUUUUCGGGGCGGAAGCAAGUGACGGUACCUGACGAAUACGCCACGGCUAACUACGUGCAAGCAGCCGCGGUAAUCCGUAGGUGGCAAGCGUUAUCCGGAUUUACUGGGUGUAAAGGGCGUGUAGGCGGGACUGCAAGUCAGAUGUGAAAACCACGGGCUCAACCUGUGGCCUGCAUUUGAAACUGUAGUGCUUGAGUACUGGAGAGGCAGACGGAAUUCCUAGUGGAGCGGUGAAAUGCGUAGAUAUUAGGAGGAACACCAGUGGCGAAGGCGGUCUGCUGGACAGCAACUGACGCUGAGGCGCGAAAGCGUGGGGAGCAAACAGGAUUAGAUACCCUUGUAGUC
Molecule: ribosomal RNA, 443 nt
Filed under: uncultured bacterium
Lineage: Bacteria
Description: partial 16S ribosomal RNA
Rfam family: Bacterial small subunit ribosomal RNA
Source: RNAcentral